UCCAGACUCCUACGGGAGGCAGCAGUGGGGGAUAUUGCACAAUGGGGGAAACCCUGAUGCAGCGACGCCGCGUGGGUGAAGAAGCGCCUCGGCGCGUAAAGCCCUGUCAGCAGGGAAGAAAAUGACAGUACCUGAAGAAGAAGCCCCGGCUAACUACGUGCCAGCAGCCGCGGUAAUACGUAGGGGGCAAGCGUUAUCCGGAUUUACUGGGUGUAAAGGGAGCGUAGACGGCAAUACAAGUCGGAAGUGAGAUACCCGGGCUUAACCUGGGAACUGCUUUGGAAACUGUAUGGCUGGAGUGCUGGAGAGGUAAGCGGAAUUCCUAGUGUAGCGGUGAAAUGCGUAGAUAUUAGGAGGAACACCAGUGGCGAAGGCGGCUUACUGGACAGUAACUGACGUUGAGGCUCGAAAGCGUGGGGAGCAAACAGGAUUAGAUACCCUAGUAC
This 446-nucleotide ribosomal RNA is filed under the name uncultured bacterium. RNAcentral describes it as "bacterial SSU rRNA". It matches the Rfam family "Bacterial small subunit ribosomal RNA", at positions 330 to 793 of the family's 1533-position model. The record is from RNAcentral.